Molecule: long non-coding RNA, 1272 nt
Organism: Gallus gallus (chicken)
Lineage: Eukaryota; Metazoa; Chordata; Aves; Galliformes; Phasianidae
Source: Ensembl
UGGCAAGGCUGGGAUCCAGCAGACAGCGCAUCCAGCCCAGCUGCACCCCAUCUCACCCAUACCCUGCCUGGAUCUACAACCACUACUGAUGCCCUUAUAGAUACUGGGAAUUACAGUUAGCCUCACUAAGAUCAGACUAUGUUCAACUUGGAGUGACUUUGAUCCCACUGUGGCUGUCAUACCUUCGUGGUACAGAGGUUCCAUCCCACUGCUCUCUCUUCCUUUACUUGUACUGGAGGUGGAGAUGCCUUGCUGCUUGGAUAGCUAAUCAGCCCUGGAAGGUGUAAUUAAAUAACAACAUGCUGUGCCACCUGAAGUCUCUCAGGAUUAAGAUGGGGUUUUAAUUGUCUAAUGCAAGAAAUGUGUUGGGUUUUUGUGUGUUGGAUUCCUUCUGGUGAGGCAAGAAAAGCAUCUUUCUGCCAACAGCCUUGCCAGAAAUGGUCACCAGAUACUCUCAUCCCCUGACGGUUACCUGAUCGUUUCUGCACACGCUGCCAGGAGGUUUCCAUCUGUAGAUCUUAAGAAGCCCAAAGUUAUGCCUUUCUAUGCUGGCUCCAGACAAUCAGAGACCUGACCUGGAUGGGAUGGCGUAUCUAUCACGCAUCAUGCAUGUACUGAUCAACAAUCACGCAGAUCUUGAUGGAGAUUAUUUUGUACUCAGCAAUUUCCUGCAGUCACAUAUUGACGUGUUGACACGUGGAUAUGCUGAUACACUGCACAUCACCUCAAGGACCAUCUACCCACUGUGCUGGUGCUGCCAGUGUUUCAGCAGAGAUCAACAACUUGAGAGACCUUCCACAUCCUCCUGAAUGUGUGGGACACACAGGGGCUAAUAGAACCUCCUUUACCCAUUGGGUUUUGCACUGUCUCCAUGGAGUCCAUUGCAUUUCGGCUCUCUGGGGUUGGGGUUUUGCAGUCCCUGGAUGCAGGUGAUGCCUGGCAGCAGCAUGCAGGUGCACCACGUAGCAGGCUGCAGCCCUCCUCCUUCCCACGGCUGCAUGCUCACUGCUCCAUCAGCACAGAUUUCCAUGAUCGAUUUGUAGGAAGAAAAGAGCCAGAUAAGAAAUAUGUUUUUAAUAGUAAUGUCACCAAUGAAUGCGAGGAUCUUGAUAUCAGCCAUUAAGUAAAAGCAGGGGUGGAAUGAGCAUCAUUUGUCUGUUGCCAGCUUCUCCCAACUGGCUUCCAUUUAGACGAGGGAAAAAAAAUCUCAUCACUGCUAUCCCAGGUAACAGUGAAAUAUAUUUGUUGUCAGCAGCAGGUCAGAAUGCAGAG